CAGCCGCCGCGGUAAUACGGAGGGCGCGAGCGUUACCCGGAUUUACUGGGCGUAAAGGGCGUGUAGGCGGCCUGGGGCGUCCCAUGUGAAAGGCCACGGCUCAACCGUGGAGGAGCGUGGGAUACGCUCAGGCUAGAGGGUGGGAGAGGGUGGUGGAAUUCCCGGAGUAGCGGUGAAAUGCGCAGAUACCGGGAGGAACGCCGAUGGCGAAGGCAGCCACCUGGUCCACUUCUGACGCUGAGGCGCGAAAGCGUGGGGAGCAAACCGGAUUAGAUACCCCUGUAGUCCCUGUCUCUUAUAC
This 301-nucleotide ribosomal RNA is filed under the name uncultured bacterium. Its description in RNAcentral is "partial 16S ribosomal RNA". It matches the Rfam family "Bacterial small subunit ribosomal RNA", at positions 509 to 807 of the family's 1533-position model. The record is from RNAcentral.